CACCACUUCUCCCAUAAUUCAAAACACCAAAAAUUCUUCUCCAUUCUCUAGUCUUCAGAAGCUCUGCUUCUCAACCAAGGAGGAGAAGAAGUCAUGCAAUACAUCAAGAUCCUACCCGCCAUCCACCCUUGUGUCGUCCCUAGAAGGUUGCUUGCUUUCAAGGAUCUUCAAGUUCUUCGUCUCAAGGCUUGUCAUUCAUCUUUCACGGUGUACCCUCAAUCCACGGCUUGAACGAUCCCUACUUAUUCUAUACUGACAACUACAUUUUGCAGGGUUAAAUUGCGCGCUUACUUUUAGCGUAUCACUUCCCCGCGCCGAGAAAGUUGUCGAUCACCUACAACUCACCUGCACUCAAAACCGGCAGGAUUCCCCAACCGAUCCCGAUGCGUACCGUAGUCCACCGGCUCCGUCUCGCACAGACCCAAUCAGUCUGUCCUCGUCGAUCGACUGUUCUUCCUCCACCACCGAAUACCAGCGUCAAACACCACCUCCUUCGAUCUGGAAUCAGACCGCCCAGCCAACACAACCACGCCCGAAGUUGUCCCGACCCGCGACAAGAAGCCCUGUCGCACUAGACCAGCUUGCAACCGGAGGAGCCUCGGCUGCCGCACUCUGCUAAACCCUAGGGUUUCUCUCUUAGAACGUGUCUAUAAAUGGUAUAUAUAUUGAGUAUGAAAUUGGUUUGGCACUUCGCACUUUGGUGGACUUGUAUUUUAAUUUGGUAUGAAAUUUCCUUUUUAUAGCUGGACAAACAAAAAAUUGAUGAAUCCCUUUUCAUGGCUGAAAAAAAAAAAUCGAUGAAAAUAAAAGAGAUGGAUAUAACUCAAGUUCCAAUGCAUAUAUA
Rosa rugosa (rugosa rose) is the source of this 844-nucleotide long non-coding RNA. RefSeq lists it as uncharacterized. The transcript has 2 exons. The record is from RefSeq and is a predicted model, not a curated record. NCBI's taxonomy places the organism in Eukaryota, Viridiplantae, Streptophyta, Magnoliopsida, Rosales, Rosaceae.